This 301-nucleotide ribosomal RNA is filed under the name uncultured bacterium. RNAcentral's name for it is "partial 16S ribosomal RNA". It matches the Rfam family "Bacterial small subunit ribosomal RNA", at positions 509 to 808 of the family's 1533-position model. The record is from RNAcentral.
CAGCCGCCGCGGUAAUACGUAUGUCACGAGCGUUAUCCGGAUUUAUUGGGCGUAAAGCGCGUCAAGGUGGUUAUAUAAGUCUGAUGUGAAAAUGCAGGGCUCAACUCUGUAUUGCGUUGGAAACUGUAUAACUAGAGUACUGGAGAGGUAAGCGGAACUACAAGUGUAGAGGUGAAAUUCGUAGAUAUUUGUAGGAAUGCCGAUGGGGAAGCCAGCUUACUGGACAGAUACUGACGCUGAAGCGCGAAAGCGUGGGUAGCAAACAGGUUUAGAUACCCCCGUAGUCCCUGUCUCUUAUACA